RNAcentral lists this ribosomal RNA (423 nucleotides) under uncultured bacterium. RNAcentral's name for it is "bacterial SSU rRNA". It matches the Rfam family "Bacterial small subunit ribosomal RNA", at positions 361 to 776 of the family's 1533-position model. The record is from RNAcentral.
AUAUUGGACAAUGGGCGCAAGCCUGAUCCAGCGACGCCGCGUGGGUGAAGAAGGCCUGCGGGUUGUAAAGCCCUUUCGGUGGGGAAGAAAAGUCUCGGCCUAAUACGCUGGGACCUUGACGUAACCCACUAAAGAAGCACCGGCUAACUCUGUGCCAGCAGCCGCGGUAAUACAGAGGGUGCGAGCGUUAAUCGGAAUUACUGGGCGUAAAGCGCGCGUAGGCGGCUUUGCAAGCCGGAUGUGAAAUCCCCGGGCUUAACCUGGGAACUGCAUUCGGGACUGCAUUGCUAGAGUAUGGGAGAGGGAAGUGGAAUUUCAGGUGUAGCGGUGAAAUGCGUAGAUAUCUGAAGGAACAUCAGUGGCGAAAGCGACUUCCUGGACCAAUACUGACGCUCAUGUGCGAAAGCGUGGGGAGCAAACAGG